Molecule: long non-coding RNA, 17717 nt
Filed under: Salmo salar (Atlantic salmon)
Lineage: Eukaryota; Metazoa; Chordata; Actinopteri; Salmoniformes; Salmonidae
Description: lncRNA (ENSSSAG00000104920.1)
Source: RNAcentral
CUGCCGGGCGACUCUGGCUGCGCCGGACUGCCGGGCGACUCUGGCUGCGCCGGACUGGCGGGCGACUCUGGCUGCGCCGGACUGGCGGGCGACUCUGGCUGCGCCGGACUGGCGGGCGACUCUGGCUGCGCCGGACUGGCGGGCGACUCUGGCUGCGCCGGACUGGCGGGCGACUCUGGCUGCGCCGGACUGGCGGGCGACUCUGGCUGCGCCGGACUGGCGGGCGACUCUGGCUGCGCCGGACUGGCGGGCGUCUCUGUCGGUUCCGGACUGUGGGCCGUCUCUGUCGGUUCCGGACUGUGGGCCGUCUCUGUCGGUUCCGGACUGUAGGACGUCGCCAAAAGCACUGGACGGGGAACUGUCGCCGGAAGCUCUAGUCGGGGCACUGUCGGCGGAAGCUCUAGAUGGGGCACUGUUGCCGGAAGCUCUAGACGGGGCACUGUCGCCGGAAGCUCUAGACGGGGACUGCGCACUGAAGGCCUGAUGCAUGGGACUGGCAUUGGAGGCGCCAGACUAGUGACAUGCACCACAGGGCUAGUGCGAGGAGUAGGAACAGGACGUACUGGACUGGGCAGGCGCACUAAAGGCCUUGUGCGUGGGACUGGCUUUGGAGGCGCCAGACUAGUGACAUGCACCACAGGGCUAGUGCGAGGAGCAGGAACAGGACGUACCAGACUGGGCAGGCGCACUAAAAGCCUGAUGCGUGGUGCUGGCUUUGGAGGCGCCAGAACAAUAACACGCACUACAGGGCUAGUGCGAGGAGCAGGAACAGGAUACACCGGGUCUUGAAAAUGCACUGGAGGUCUGGAGCACACAGCCUGCACAACCCCUUCUGGCUGGCUUGUCAGCGUAGCCCUGCACGGGCAGAGUGCUGGCACAGGGCGAACUGGGCUUUGCUGAGGACUGAUGGUUGCCGUGCGUAGAGCAGGCGCAGGGUAGACUGGGCCUAGGAAACGCACUGGUGGCCAGAUGUGCUGCGCCGGCGCACUUCUCCCUGGCUGGAUGCCCACUCUAGCACGGCACUUGCGGGGAACUGGUAUCGACCGCACCGGGCUUUGACUGCGUCUCGGAAAUACAGUGCGCAUUUCCGCAUAGCUCGGUGCCUUCUUGAUCAGUUGCUCCCCAUAAUAAGCACGGGGAGUUGGCUCAGGUCUAUUGACUGACUUAGCCAAUCUCCCCGUGUGGGCUGCUUCUCAGGCUUCCUUGCCAGCCGUGUUCCGGCAUAACGUUCCCGGUCCUCUCCAGCCUUCCUCCAUGGUCCUUCUCCAGCUAGUAUCUCCUCCCAUGUCCAGGACUCGAGAUAACUCUCCUGUUGCUCCUUCCUCCGCUGCUUGGUCCUUUCUUGGUGGGUAGUUCUGUCAUAAUCAUCGUAGUGAGCGGACCAAAACGCAGCGGGUAUAUGUAUGCUCAUCUUCUUUUAUUGAAGAAAACAAAAACAAAAACACUUAUACUAAACAAACGACGAAAAACAGUCCUGUAAGGUUCACUGACAAUACACGGAGACAGCUACCCACAAAACCCAUGGAAAAACACCGAGGAACUGCUGCGUCCAAUUGAAGGUCAGCCCAAGAAACUGAAACAUAGAAAUAGACACACUAGAACAAACAUAAAAAUAUACUAACAUAGAACAUAAACCAAAACCCCCGAAACACAUAAAACAAACACCCCCUGCCACGCCCUGACCAAACUACAAUAACAAAUAACCCCCUUUACUGGUCAGGACGUGACAGGGACAAACACCAACUUAAAUAUGACCUCCAAUUAGAGACAACAAUGACCAGCUGCCUCUAAUUGGAGAUCAUCUCAAACAAAGCCCAACAUAGAAAUACAAAAACUAGAACAACCCAACAUAGAAAUACAAAACUAGAACAUAACAUAGAAGAAAACUCAACUAGAAAACCCCCCUGUCACGCCCUGACCUACUCUACCAUAGAAAAUAACAGCUUACCAUGGUCAGGACGUGACAGUACCCCCCCCCCGAAGGUGCAGAGUCCGAAUGCAACUAAAAAAUUAAAAAGGGAGGGUAGGGAGGGAGGGUAACAAGUGUCUAUGGCGGCUCUGGUGCAGUACACAGAACCUUAUCAUCCAGCGAAUCCUCCAGUAGAGGAGGCGGCUCUGGUUCGGGGCGUAACCCUCGCUCCGCCCGCUGAUCCCUCCGCUUUUGCAUCACUCACCGGACCGUGGAUCAUCACCGGAGGUUCUAGACUGUAGACUGCCGUCGGAGGUUCUAGACUGCAGACCGCCGCCUGCGGGACAUCGCCGGAGGCUCCAGACUGCGGGCCAUCUCAGGAGGCUCCGGACUGCGGGCCGUCUCAGGAGGCUCCGGACUGCGGGCCGUCUCAGGAGGCUCCGGACUGCGGGCCGUCUCAGGAGGCUCCGGACUGUAGAAUGUCGCCGGAAGCUCCGGACUGGGAACUGUCGCCGGAAGCUCUGGACUGGGAAUGCGCACUGGAGGCCUGAUGCGUGGGGCUGGCAUAGGUGGCGCCAGACUAGUAACACGCAUCUCAUGGCGAGUGCGGGGAGCAGGAACACGACACCCCGGACUGGGCAGGUGCACUGGAGGCCUGAUGCAUGGGGCUGGCAUAGGUGGCGCCAGACUGGUAACACGCACCUCAGGGCAAGUGCGGGGAGCAGGAACAGGGCGUACCAGGCUGGAUAGACUCACUGGAGGCCGGGUACGUGGGGCAGGCACAGGAUAUACUGGACAGUGGAGGCGCACUGGAGGUCUCGAGCGUAGAGCUGGCACAACCCGUCCUGGCUGGAUGCUUACUUUCGCCCGGCAAACGCGGGGUGCGGGCACAGGACGCACUGGGCUGUGAAUACGCACUGGUGACACAGUGCGCAGCGCCAGAGCAGGAUAUCCUGGACCGAGAAGGCGAACUGGAGACCAGGAGCGCUGAGCUGGCACCACCCUUCCUGGCUGAAUGCUCAACCUAGCUCGGCAAAUGCGGGGCGCGGGCACAGAUCACACCGGACUGUGAAUCAUCACCGCAUAACACGGUGCUUGCUUCUUCACUUGCUCCCCACGGUAAGCACGGGGAAUUGGCUCAGGUCUCCACCCUGACUCUGCCAAUCUCCCCGUGUGCCCCCCCCAAAAACAUAUGACCUCCAAUUAGAGACAACGAUGACCAGCUGCCUCUAAUUGGAGAUCAUCUCAAACAAAGCCCAACAUAGAAAUACAAAAACUAGAACAACCCAACAUAGAAAUACAAAACUAGAACAUAACAACAUAGAAAAAACUAAACUAGAAAACCCCCCGUCACGCCCUGACCUACUCUACCAUAGAAAAUAACAGCUUACCAUGGUCAGGACGUGACAGUUUGUAGGUGAGUCCAGUUGUGUACUGACAGGGGUCACGUUUUAUAUUGAAAGUGAACAGUGUUUUUUUGGUUUAAUCCAUUGAUCAGGGACAUGCAACUAUAGUUUCCUUCACAGAAAAUACAUUAGUGCAACAUAUUCAGCAGAAAAUAGCUUCAUUGUUAUCAGAUGACAACAGAAGUGCAACACUAUUUGGCUGGCAGCUACACAAGUAAAUGGUAGCCACCUACAUAUUAGCCACCUACAUUUGCUAAUGUUUUGAUUAAAGUUAUUCUUGCGUUUUACUGGAAAGAAGUAGGCUGGCUACACGGAGAAAAGUAGCUACACCAGGCAGAGCGUUGUCUGCUGGAAGAAUGCCUGUCAGUAGCGGUGCUUGGGUAAAAUCCCCAGAGAAGCCAAUCCAGAAGAAGUAAAAAGCCAUAUUACAACCUAUGUGUUGUGAUAACUGCGUUGUUUGCUCUAUAACCUGUUAGUUCAUAUGCCUUGACACAUAUUGCAUGUAACAAACAGUUACCUGACCGUCAGCAUGGUCAAGCAAGGUAAUGUUUUUGACAUUUUCGAACUACUAAAUAACUAUUGAUUUAGAACCAUGGAGAGUUACCGCAAGUCGCAAAUAAAACAGGAGCUGCCUCCACUAUUCCAGCACCAUUUCAACUUCAACAUAAUCACCUAUGUUUAGUCCAAUAUAGUGACAACUAAAAGAUCUAAAAAACUAUUUUGUCCAAUCAACGUGAGCUAAAUAUGAUGUGGCUGUCCAUGGUACUGAUUUCUGUGUUUAUGUUGCCUAAACGGUCUAUGACUCUGUCAUGAUACAGUACAUGCUUUUCGUUUCUGUUGUCCUAAGCUACCUGACUAAAAUACUUGCUCGCCUGCCUAACUUCCUUUCAUGGGCAACAUUAGGUAGUUAACCAUAACCUUAACCUUAAACUAGUUACAAUUAAUAUUAAACUUCUACAUUGCCAUUACAAUCAUUGGCCAGUACGGAGAAUUAAGUAAAACAUGUCCAAAUCCCUAUCUCCAUCCAUGGCUAAUUUAGGAAAGGGCCAAUUUUAGCUAGCUAGCCACUGGAUGACAACAACACCACCAACAACACCACGAGAUGAAACGAUUCAGUUUGUUUCUGUCAAUGACAUAUGCCCUCAAUGUGAUUUGAUAGGAGUGACGCUAAAUCCAAAUUGGAUUCCCUUUACUCUUUUUUUUGGUGCGCCAGGACCAUUCACAGUUGAGCUCUGUGGUGGCUAAUUUCUGCAUUACCAAAUGAGGAGAGUUAAACACACCAGUCCGAUUUAACUACAUCUUUAAUACUUAAGAUACUUUUGCAAAAGCCUCUUUGACCUUCAAUAAUGCACUCUCUCAAAUGAACCAGGAAGGUGAUUACACAAUGGCUACAGAGAUAUUUUAUAGCAAAGAUACACCCCCUUCAACGUACAUUGACAAACCACAGAUCUUAGUAACAGUUCACAAAGGUUAAGUUUUAUAUGACAGAUAUCCAUAAAACACAGCAGACAGUAACUGCUAUGUCAACAGGGUUCAUUAUAUAGACCAGUAUCUGGUCCCCUUAGAACUGUCCCUCCCUGGUACGGUAUUGAACAGAACCAUUAGCUCAUGUCCUCUGGAAUGCUUUUUAGGCCUUCUUAUCAAAAUACAUCAUACAUUUCCUUUGUCAGUGCUAUCUCAUAGUGGCCCAUCCUCAGUAAAACACCUCUUGUUCCCACUCCUGGACAAGCUCACUGAGAGGGGAGUGACCUGCGCACAGACAUUGUGGAGACAAAUAAUUGGUUCCCCAUUAAUCACGCCAUCCCUUCACAUGGUUUAAGAAUAGGUAAAGACACAUUCACAUGAAGACAAUAUCAUUCUGUCCUCCUCUCUUGCUGAUAUUCUGCAUAGCAACAGAGACAUGUAAAAAACAAGUCUGACCUCUCCCCUCUCUGGGCCCCAAGUGCCUGAACCCCAGCUAAGGGAAACGUGCAACUGAAACAUACCAGAGUCCAAAGGACACUUUCUAAUGACAAGUAUCUCUCACAAGCAUAUUAUACUAAUAAAACAUCUUAAUCAUCUAUGUUACCCAACUCAUUCUGAUUCAUCCACGACAGCUCACACAGAUUAGCUCAACGCUGAUUGGCUAUUAUUUUAUACUUUUUUUCAGGGGAGGCCAAAUGCUCGUCAACAAAAAGUGUCAAGGGAUGCCAGUUCCAUGCUACAGGCGGCAACAAUGCUACAAGCGGCAACAACGUCAUACUCUUUUGGACCAGACAGCAUCAGAUAUGGUGCUCUGUAUGGCCUACACAUACAGAGAGGCGCUGUUCCUUCAAUUCAGCCUGUUGCGAAUUGAAGGAAAGUCAUGAAACAGAGAGACGACAGAUGGGGGGGGCUGGAUUCUCCUGGCAUUCCUGAAUACACGCCACUACCUGAUCGUGAAUUUUCAUCCUAGUGGAGAAAUUAAACUGAAGCACAAAAUGUGUUUGAUGCCGAGCAGAAAAUACAAUAAGAAGCAUUUGAGAUCUGCUUUUACAAAACGCAGCAAGAUUUCUUAUGCAUUUUAUAUUUAUUUCCUGUGUGAAAAUGGCACCGGAGAAGAAGGCAAACUUUUUACGUGCCCCCAACCGAUUGUGUUUUUUUGUUUGUUUAUUUGCGUUGUUUGUAACUUAUUUUUUUACUUAUUUUGUACAUAAUGUUGCAGCUACUGUCUCUUAUGACCGAAACUAACUUCUGGACUGUCACGUGUGCGCCCUCUCCAGCCUCUAGGUCAUCAGGCUGCUCAUUAUCCUGCACACUUGUCACUAUCGCCAUGCACCUCAUGACACUCUUCUGGUCUCCAUUACCUCCUUGAUUAUCUUCCCUAUAUCUCUCACUCCCCUCGGUUCUUUCCUUAGGUGUUAUUGUUUCAUGUUUGUGCGUUGCUUGUGUUUCUUGUUUUGUAUUAUGUUUCGUUUAUUGAUUAAAUCACUCACUCCCUGAACAUGCUUCCCGACUCUCAAUUCAUCGUUAAUGAAUAACGCCUCAUCUAAGGAAAGCAUUGGGGAGUGUUUUUGGGGGGUUUUUUGUGUCAGAGUAAAGACGUCGGUUCUGGGAGCCGUUACAGGCUCUCAAGCCUCAGCCAGAUCGCCAGGCUCCCCUGCCUCUGCCGGCUCGAUGGGCUUUCAUGCCUCCGCCGGAUCACCUGGCUCCCCUGCCUCGUCGGGCUUUGAUGCCUUUGCCGGAUCGUCAGGCUCCCCUGCUUCCACCGGCUCAUCAGGCUCUCAUGCCUCAGCCGGAUCGCCAAGCUCUCAUGCCUCAGCUGGAUCGCCAGGCUCCCCUGCCUCAGCCGGUCUGUCAGGUUCCCGCGCCCCAGCCGGCUACAGGUUUCCGCGCAUCAUCAUGGGUGACCGUCCGCUCUUGAUCCCCGGGAUCGUCCCUUGGGUUGGCGUCCUGCGGCUGGAGCUGAACGCACCGGGAGGGGGUACUGUCACGCAUGCUCUCUCUCCGGCAAUCUAGGUUGCCAUGCUCCCGCGCUUCAGCCGGAUUGACAGGUUCCCGUGCCUCAGCAGAGGUGACCAGCAGGAUGCUAUUAUCCCGCACACCUGUCACCAUCGUCAUGCGCCUCAUGACACACCUGGUCUCCAUCACCUCCUUGAUUAUCUUCGCUAUAUCUGUCACUCCCCUUGGUUCUUUCCUUAGGUGUUAUUGUUUCUGUUUCAUGUCUGUGCGUUGUUCGUGUUUCUUGUUAUGUUUAGUUUAUUGAUUAAAUCACUCACUAACUGAACUUGCUUCCCGACUCUCAGUCGUACCAGCAGGUAAGACAAGGGGUGGGCUAUGUAUUUAUGUAAAUUACAGCUGGUGCACGAUAUCUAAGGAAGUCUUGAGCUAAUGCUCGCCUGAGGUAGAGUAUCUCAUGAGAAGCUGUAGACCACACUAUCUACCUAGAGAAUUUUCAUCUGUAUUUUUCAUAGAUGUUUACAUACCACCACAGUCAGAGGCUGGCACUAAGACAGCAUUGAAUGAGCUGUAUUCCGCCAUAAACAAACAAGAAAACGUUCACCCAGAGGCGGCGCUCCUAGUAGCCGGGGACUUUAAUGCAGGGAAACUUAAAUCCGUUUUAGCAAAUUUCUAUCAGCAUGUUAAAUGUGCAACCAGAGGAAAACAAACUCUGGACCACCUUUACUCCACACACAGAGAUGCAUACAAAGCUCUCCCUCGCCCUCCAUUUGGUAAAUCUGACCAUAACAAGCAAAAAUUAACGCAGGAGGCACCGGUGACGAGAUCAAUAAAAAAGUGGUCAGAUGAAACAGAUACUAAGCUACAGGACUGUUUUGCUAGCACAGACUGGAAUAUAUUCUGGGAUUCCUGCAAUGGCAUUGAGGAGUACAUCACAUCAGUCAUUGGCUUCAUUAAUAAGUGCAUCGAUGACGUCGUCUCCACAGUGACCGUACUUACAUACCCCAACCAGAAGCCAUGGAUUACAGGCAACAUCCGCACUGAGCUAAAGGGUAGAGCUGCCACUUCAAAGAGCGGGACUCUAACCCGAAAGCUUAUAAGAAAUCCCGCUAUGCCCCCUGAUGAACCAUCAAACAGGCAAAGCUUCAAUACAGGACUAAGAUUGAAUUGUACUACACCGGCUCUGACACUCGUCGGAUGUGUCAGGGCUUGCAAACCAUUACAGACUACAUAGGGAAGCACAGCCAACUGCUGCCCAGUGACACGAGUGUACCAAACGAACUAAACUACUUAUAUGCUCGCUUCGAGGCAAAUAACACUGAAACAUGCAUGAGAGCACCAGCUGUUCCGGAAGACUGUGUGAUCACGCUCUACGCAGCCGAUGUGAGCAAGACCUUUAAACAGGUCAACAUUCACAAGGCCACAGGGCCAGACAGAUUACCAGGACGUGUACUCCGAGCAUGCGCUGACCAACUGGCAAGUGUCUUCACUGAUAUUUUCAGCCUCUCCUGUCUGAGUCUGUAAUACCAACAUGUUUUAAGCAGACCACCAUAGUGCCUGUGCCCAAGAACACUAAGCUAACCUGCCUAAAUGACUACCAACCCGUAGCACUUACGUCUGUAGCCAUGAAGUGCUUUGAAACGCUGGUAAUGGCUCGCAUCAACACCAUUAUCCCAGAAACCCUAAACCGACUCCAAUUUGGAUACCGCCCCAACAGAUCCACAGAUGAUGCCAUCUCUACUGCACUCCACACUGCCCUUUCCCACCUGGACAAAAGGAACACCUAUGUGAGAAUGCUAUUCAUUGACUACAGCUCAGCGUUCAACACCAUAGUGCCCUCAAAGCUCAGCAAGAAGCUAAGGACCCUGGGACUAAACACUUCCCUCUGCAACAGAAUUCCUGGACUUCCUAACGGGCUGCCCCCAGGUAGUAAGGGUAGGUAACAACACAUCUGCCAUGCUGCUCCUCAACACAGGGGCCCCUCAAGGUUGUGUGCUCAGUCCCCUCCUGUACUCCCUGUUCACUCAUGACUGCACGGCCAGGCACUACUCCAACACCAUCAUUAAGUUUGCCGAUGACACAACAGUGGUAGGCCUGAUCACCGACAACGACGAGACAGCCUAUAGCGAAGAGGUCAGAGACCUGGCCGUGUGGUGCCAGGACAACAACCUUUCCCUCAACGUGAUCAAGACAAAGGAGAUGAUUGUGGACUACAGGAAAAAGAGGACCGUACAUGCCCCCAUUCUCAUCGACUGGGCUGCAGUGGAGCAGGUUGAGAGCUUCAAGUUCCUUGGUGUCCACAUCACCAACAAACUAACAUGGUCCAAGCACAUCAAGGGAGUCGUGAAGAGGACACAACAAAACCUAUUCCCCCUCAGGAGACUGAAAAGAUUUGGGUCCUCAGAUCCUCAAAAAGGUUCCACAGCUGCACCAUCGAGAGCAUCCUGACGGGUUGCAUCACUGCUUGGUAUGGCAACUGCUCGGGCUUCGACCGCAAGGCACUACAGAGGGUAGUGCGAACGGCCCAGUACAUCACUGGGGCCAAGCUUCCUGCCAUCCAGGACCUCUAUACCAAGCGGUGUCAGAGGAAGUCCCUAGAAAUUGUCAAAAGACUCCAGCCACCCUAGUCAUAGACUGUUCUCUCUGCUACCGGACGGCAAGCGGUACCGGAGCGCUAAGUUUAAGUCCAAGAGGCUUCUAAAUAGCUUCUACCCCCAAGCCAAAAGACUCCUGAACACCUAAUCAAAUGGCUACCCAGACUAUUUGCAUUCCCCCCCCCCUCUUUUACACCAUUGGUACUCUCUGUUGUUAUCAUCUAUGUAUAGUCACUUUAAUAACUCUCCAUACAUGUACAUAUUACCUCAACUAACCGGUGCCCCUGCACAUUGACUCUGUACCGAUAACCCCCUGUAUAUAGUCUCGCUAUUGUUAUUUUACCGGUGCGCUUUAAUUACUUGUUACUUUUAUUUCUUAUUCUUAUCUGUAUUUUUAAGAAUGCAUUGUUGGUUAGGGGCUCGUAAGUACCUGUUGUAUUCAGCGCAUGUGACUAAUAAAAUUUGAUUUGAUUUGAAAAACAAAGAUUCUCUGUUAACGUGACCCCUAAGUUUAACUUGCUAGUUAUCUAAGUAAGUGGCUGAAUUAAUAAGGUAAUGGGGCAUCAUAUUGUGUUAGCUUUCUGCCGUGUUUGAGAAGUCAAAGCCCUUUGGAUUAGUUAUCUGUACAGCUGCCACUGCAGCUUGAUUUCCUUGCAUUUUUCUCCUCUCUCUUCUGGGCCCAUCUGCUCCUCCCCCCAUCUUUUCUGAGCAGAGCAGGCAGGCCCGUUGCCCGAGUGACUCCAGACGCCACACAGACACAGCGUGUACUAAGGCUGUCCCCGACUUAAAAAAAAUCUUGGUCCGAGAGUUGUCUGUUCUUUCGAACAACAAAUUGUAAAACUUGUAUUGGCCUCCAGAGUGGCACAGCGGUCUAAGGCACUGCAGUGCUUGAGGCGUCACUACAGAUCCAGGUUCGAUCCCGGGCUGUGUCGCAACCAGUUCUACGGUGUUUCCUCUGACACACUGGUGCGGCUGGCUUCCGGGUUAAGCAAGCAGUGUGUCAAGAAGCAGUGCGGAUUGGCAGGGUCGUGUUUCAGAGGGCGAAUGGCUUUCGACCUUCGCAUCUCCGGAGUCCGUACGCGAGUUGCAAUGAUGGGAGAAUACUGUAACACCCAAUUGGAUAUCACGAAAAGGGGUAAAAUGUAAAAAAACUAAAAUAUUUGUACCUAUAUAGACACACCCUAUGUGGGUAGAUCCACAUUAAUAUUGCAGAUAGAUUGUGACUUCCAUCAAUGUAAUUGUCUGCAUCAUUUCCAAUCUCCCUUAUAUAUAUAUACUGUCCUUCAGAAAGUAUUCAGACCCCUUGACUUUUUCACAUUUUGUUACAUUACAGCUUUAUUCUAAAAUGUAUUAAAUAGUUUUUUUCCUCACACACAAUACCCCAUAAUGACUGAGCAAAAAUACGUUUUUAGAAAUGUUUGCUAAUUUAUAAAAAAUAAAUAAACUGAAAUAUCCCAGCAUGUGGGAACUCCUUCAAGACUGUUGGAAAAGCAUUCCAGGUGAAGCUGGUUGAGAGAAUGCCAAGAGUAUGUAAAGCUAUGAUCAAGACAAAGGGUGGCUACUUUGAAGAAUCUCAAAUUUAAAAUAGAUUUUGAUUUGUUUUACACUUUUUUGGUUACUACAUAAUUCCAUAUUUGUUAUUUCAUAGUUUUGAUGUCUUUACUAUUAUUCUAAAAUGUCGAAAAUAGUAAAAAAUAAAGAAAAACCCUGGAAUGAGUAGGUGUGUCCAAAUGUUUGACUGGUACUGUAAGUAUUCAGACCCUUUACUCAGUAUUAUGUUGAAACACCUUUGGCAGUGAUUACAGCAUUGAGUCUUCUUGGGUAUGACGCUACAAGAGGGGCACACCUGUAUCACACCUGUAUUUGGGGAGUUUCUCCCAUUCUUCUCUGCAGAUCCUCUCAAGCUCUGUCAGGUUAUUUUGGGAGCGUUGCUGCACAGCUAUUUUCAGGUGUCUCCAGAGAUGUUCGAUCAGGUUCAAGUCCGGGCUCUGGCUAGUCUUCCAGUCCCUGCCGCUGAAAAACAUCCCCACAGCAUGAUGCCACCACCAUGCUUUACCAAAGGGAUGGUGAAAGGUUUCCUUCAGACGUGAUGCUUGGCAUUCAGGCCAAAGAGUUCAAUCUUGGUUUCCUCAGACCAGAUCAUUUUGUUUCUCAUAGUCUGAGAGUUUAGGUGCCUGUUGGCAAACUCCAAGUGGGCUGUCAUGUGCCUUUUACUGAGGAGUGGCUUCCGUCUGGGCACUCUACCAUAAAGGCCGGAUAGGUGGAGUGCCGCAGAGAUGGUUGUCCUUCUGGAAGGUUCUCCCAUCUCCACAGAGGAACUCUAGAGCUCUGUCAGAGUGACCAUCGGGUUCUUAGUCACCUCCCUGACCAAGGCCCUUCUCUCCCGAUUGCUCAGUUUGGCAGGGCGGCCAGCUCUAGGAAGAGUCUUGGUGGUUCCAAACUUCUUCCAUUUAAGAAUAAUGGAGGCCACUGUGUUCUUGGGGACCUUCAAUGCUGCAGAAAUUUUUUGGUACCCUUCCCCAGAUCUGUUCCUCUACACAAUCCUGUCUCGGUGCUCUACGGACAAUUCCUUCGACCUCAUGGCUUGGUUUUUGCUCUGACAUGCACUGUCAAGUGUGGGACCUUAUAUAGACAGACGUGUGCCUUUCCAUGUCAUGUCCAAUCAAUGGAAUGUACCACAGGUGGACUCCAAUCAAGAUGUAGAAACAUCUCAAGGAUGAUCAAUGGAAACAGAAUGCAGCUGUGCUCAAUUUGGAGUCGUAUACCAAAGGGUCAUACUUAUGUGAAUAAGGUAUUUAUUUUUAAUAUUUUAAAUACAUUUGCAAAAAUGUCUAAAAACCUGUUUUUUUCUUCUUUUGGGGUAUUGUGUGUAGAUUUCUGAGAACUUUUAUUUAUUUAAUCUGUUUUAGAAUAAGGCUGCAACGUAACAAAUGUGGAAAAUGUCAAGGGGUCUGAAUACUUUCCUAAGGCACAAUAUUUUGAAAUAUUUAUAUAAUAUAUAUAUUUUUUAUAUUUUCCUUUAAGAUUUUCCCCUAACCCUACCACCCCUCCCCUAAUUGGAGUAAACUAGUGGACAAGAACACUUAGGCUUCUACCUCCAUCUUAUACAUACUAUUUACAUUUUACUGACACAGUAAAUUUUACAAUCGUUAUCUUUUGUUUGUUUUUAGUCCCAUCCUUUAGCUACCCUCAACCACUCCUAUGUAUCUCUGAAGACCAUCCAGUUUUGAUUUCUAUUUGCCAUACAUUGUCAACUGUGCUGUGACAUUUCACAAAAGUUCUGAACCUUUCUAUUCUCAGAGUAUCUAAAGAUUGUAAAUUGAAAUAAUAAUAAUACUCUUAGCAAAAAUGUUUAUAUUAUUGAUCGAUUGACUAGGACUUUUCAAAUCACCCAGUAGUGCUAUUUGCAGCUAACUCCAGGUAAAUGUUGCAAUUCUUCAGCCAUUCCUGAACCUAUGACCAAAAACAAGCUACAGUACCAAAACAAAUGAUCGAAUGAUUAUGUCUCUUCACAGCAAAACCUGCAGAGCUGGGAUGGUUGUAUCCCCCAUAUAUAUAUAUAACAUUCUAUUGGUUGCAAUAAUUUGUACAAUAAUUUAAAUGGAAAAAUUUGAAUCGUUUUGUGUAUCAGUUCAUAAACCAUGUGGCAUGGAAUCAGUACACUGAAAAUCUCUUACUAACUUUCUAAAUUUUUUGGUCCUUAAAUGAAACUGGUAUACUUGGUUAUUUAUCACAAUUUUGUUUAACCAAUUUUGGUCUUUAAUUAAUGCAGGGCCCACAGCCAAGUUCCUUACUUACUCCCCCUUCUGCUUGCCUCUUCCAUUUUGUGGUAGGGCUGCAAAAUUUUGAGUAAAGCAGUCAUUUACAUAUAUUUUUGUUAGCUGCAUGUGUGACAUAUCUCCACCAGUCCUAUUUAGGAUAUAAUUUACAAGGACUAUACUGUUUUUAAACAUUUUUUCCCCAGAAUAUAUUUUCUUUAUCAAUUAGAAUAUUUGAGUUUAACCAUAAUAUUAGUUGUAAUAUUUGUUCUGUCUUUUCUGGUGGAUUAAACUGAAAUUGCAACCAACUAUCUAUGGCUUCUUUUAAAAACAGCGAUAUUUUGGAGAUUAUUUCAAUUUCAAAUAACCGAAAGUGAGGGGUUGUAAUCUGAAUAAAGUGAAAAAAAGCCAUUCUUGAAUAUGGGGUGAGUCAGUCUUACUAAUCAAAUUGAAUCAAAUCAAAUGUUAUUUGUCACAUGCGCCAUAUACAAUAGGUGCAGAUCUUACAAUGAAAUGCUUACUUACAAGCCCUAACCAACAAUGCAGUUACAUUUUAUUUGAUUUGAAAUACCUUAAAAAAUAAGAAUAAGAAAUAAAAGUAACUAAUAAUUAAAGAGCAGCAGUAAAAUAACAAUAGUCAGGCUAUAUACAGGGGCUAGUGAGUCAAUGCGCGGGGACACCGGUUAAUCGAGGUAAUUGAGGUAAUAUGUACAUGUAUGGAGAGUUAUUAAAGUGACUAUGCAUAGAUAAUAACAGAGAGUAGCAGCAGUGUAAAAGAGGGGGGCAAUGCAAAUAGUCUGAGUAGCCAUUUCAUUAGAUGUUCAGAAGUCUUAUGGCUUGGGGGUAGAAGCUGUUUAGGAGCCUCUUGGACCUAGAGUUGGCGCUCCGGUACCGCUUGCCAUGAGGUAGCAGAGAGAACAGUCUAUGACUAGGUUGGCUGGAGUCUUUGAUAAUUUUUAGGGACUUCCUCUGACACCGCCUGGAAGAGAGGCCCUGGAUGACAGGAAGCUUGGCCCCAGAGAUGUACUGGGCCGUACGCACUACGCUCUGUAUUGCCUUGCAGUCAGAGGUCGAGCAGUUGCCAUAUAAGGCAGUGAUGCAACCCGUCCGGAUGCUCUCGAUGGUGCAGCUGUAGAACCUUUUGAGGAUCUGAGGACCCAAAUCUUUUCAGUCUCCUGAGGAGGAAUAGGUUUUGUCGUGCCUUCUUCAUCAAAUCAAAUCAAACGUAUUUAUAUAGCCCUUCUUACAUCAGCUGAUAUCUCAAAGUGCUGUACAGAAACCCAGCCUAAAUCCCCGAACAGCCAGCAAUGCAGGUGUAGAAGCACGGUGGCUAGGAAAAACUCCGUAGAAAGGCCAAAACCUAGGAAGAAACCUAGAGAGGAACCAGGCUAUGAGGGGGGGGGGGCAGUCCUCUUCUGGCUGUGCCGGGUGGAGAUUAUAACAGAACAUGGCCAAGAUGUUCAAAUGUUCAUAAAUGACCAGCAUGGUCAAAUAAUAAUAAUCACAGUAGUUGUCGAGGGUGCAACAAGUCAGCACCUCAAGAGUAAAUGUCAGUUGGCUUUUCAUAGCCGAUCAUUGGGAGUAUCUCUACCACUCCUGCUGUCUCUAGAGAGUUGAAAACAGCAGGUCUGGGACAGGUAGCACGUCCGGUGAACCGGUCAGGGUUCCAUUGCCGCAGGCAGAACAGUUAAAACUGGAGCAGCAGCAUGGCCAGGUGGACUGGGGACAGCAAGGAGUCAUCAUGUCAGGCAGUCCUGAGGCAUGGUCCUAGGGCUCAGGUCCUCUGAGAGAGAGAAAAAAAGAGAGAAAGAGAGAAAUAGAGAGAGCAUACUUAAAUUCACACAGGACACCGGAUAAGACUGGAGAAAUACUCCAGAUAUAACAGACUGACCCUAGCCCCCCGACACAUAAACUACUGCAGCAUAAAUACUGGAGGCUGAGACAGGAGGGGUCAGGAGACACUGUGGCCCCAUCCGACGAUACCCCCGGACAGGGCCAAACAGGAAGGAUAUAACCCCACCCACUUUCCAAAAGCACAGCCCCCACACCACUAGAGGGAUAUCUUCAACCACCAACUUACCAUCCUGAGACAAGGCCGAGUAUAGCCUACAAAGAUCUCCGCCACAGCACAGCCCAAGGGGGGGCGCCAACCCAGACAGGAAGACCACGUCAGUGACUCAACCCACUCAAGUGACGCACCCCUCCUAGGGACGGCAUGGAAGAACACCGAUAAGCCAGUGACUCAGCCCCUGUAAUAGGGUUAGAGGCAGAGAAUCCCAGUGGAGAGAGGGGAACCGGCCAGGCAGAGACAGCAAGGGCGGUUCAUUCAUGACUGUCUUGGUGUGCUUGGACCAUGUUAGUUUGUUGGUGAUGUGGACACCAAGGAACUUGAAGCUCUCAACCUGCUUCACUACAGCCUGGGGUCCUGCUCGGUCCUCCUUUUCCUGUAGUCCACAAUCAUCUCCUUUGUCUUGAUCACAUUGAGGGAGAGGUUGCUGUCCUGGCACCACUCGGCCAGGUCUUCUUUGACCUCUUCGCUAUAGGCUGUCUCGUCGUUGUGGGUGAUCAGGUCUACCACUGUUGCGUCAUCGGCAAACUUAAUGAUGGUGUUGGAGUAGUGCCUGGCCUUGCAGUCAUGAGUGAACAGGGAGUACAGGAGGGGGCUGAGCAUGCACCCCUGAGGGGCCCCUGUGUUGAGGAUCAGCUUGGCAGAUGUGUUGUUACCUACCCUUACUAGCAGGGGGUGGCUUGUCAGGAAGUCCAGGAUCCAGUUGCUGAGGGAGGUGUUUAGUCCCAGGGUCCUUAGCUUUGUGAUGAGCUAUGGCGGCAAUAUGGUGUUGAACGCUGAGCUGUAGUCAAUGAAUAGCAUUCUCACAUAGGUGUUCCUUUUGUCCAGGUGGGAAAGGGCAGUAUGGAGUGCAACAGAGAUUGCAUCAUCUGUGGAUCUGUUGGGGCGGUAUGCAAAUUGAGUGGGUCUAGCGUUUCUGGGAUAAUGGUGUUGAUGUGAGCCAUGGCCAGCCUUUCAAAGCACUUCAUGGCUACAGACGUGCGUGCUAUGGGUCGGUAGUCAGUUAGGCAGGUUGCCUUAGUGUUCUUGGGCACAGGGACUAUGGUGGUCUGCUUGAAACAUGUUGGUAUUACAGACUCAGACAGGGAGAGGUUGACAAUGUCAGUGAAGCCACAUGCCAGUUGGUCCACGCAUGCUCGGAGUGCACGUCCUGGUAAUCCGUCUGGGCGAGCAUAGAAGUAGCUUAGCUCGUCUGGUAUGCUCGUGUCACUGGGCAGCUCUCGGCUGUGCUUCCCUUUGUUGUCUCUAAUGGUUUGCAAGCCUUGACACAUCCGACGAGCAUCUGAGCCGGUGUAGUACAAUUCGAUCUUAGUCCUGUAUUGACGCUUUGCCUGUUUGAUGGUUCGUCUGAGGGCAUAGCGGGAUUUCUUAUAAGCUUCCAGGUUAGAGUCUCGCUCCUUGAAGCGGCAGCUCUACCCUUUAGCUCAGUGCGGAUGUUGCCUGUAAUAUAUGGCUUCUGGUUGGGGUAUGUACGUACGGUCACUGUGGGGACGACGUCAUCGAUGCAGUUAUUGAUGAUGCCAGUGACUAAUGUGGUGUACUCCUCAAAGCCAUCGGAGGAAUCCCGAAACAUACUCCAGUCUGUGCUAGCAAAACAGUCCUGUAGCUUAGUAUCUGUUUCAUCUGACCACUUUUUUAUUGCUUUAGUCACUGGUACUUCCUGCUUUAAUUUUUGCUUGUAAGCACGAAUCAGGAGGAUAGUAUUAUGGUCAGAUUUGCCAAAUGGAGGGUGAGGGAGAGCUUUGUACGCGUCUCUGUGUGUGGAGUAAAGGUGGUCUAGAGUUUUAUCCCCCUCUGGUUGCACAUUUAUUUGGAAAUUUGGUAAAAUGGAUUUAAGUUUCCUGCAUUAAAGUCCCCGGCCACUAGGAGCGCCGCCUCUGGAUGAGCGUUUUCCUGUUUGCUUUUGGCGGUAUACAGCUCAUUGAGUACGGUCUUUGUGCCAGCAUUGGUCUGUGGUGGUAUGUAGACAGCUGUGAAACAUACAGAGAUGAAAACUCUAGGUAGAUAGUGUGGUCAACAAUUUAUCAGAUACUCUACCUCAGACGAGCAAAACCUUGAGACUUCCUUAGAUAUGGUGCACCAGCUGUUGUUUACAAAUAUACAUAGACCCCCAACCCUUGUCUUACCAGAUGCUGCUGUUCUAUCCUGCCGAUACAGUGUAAAACCCGCCAGCUGUAUGUUGGUCAUGUCGGUGAAACAUAAGAUAUUACCAUUUUUAAUGUCCCGUUGGUAGUUUAAUCUUGCUCGCGGGUCAUCGAUUUUAUUUUCCAGAUAUUGCAUGUUUGACAAUGGAACGGAUUGCCAGUGGGGUUUUAUUCGCUCGCCUACGAAUUCUCAGAAGGCUGUCCGACCUCUGCCCCGUUUUUCUCCGUCUUCUCUUUAUGCAAAUGGCAGGGAUUUGGGCCUGUUCCCGGGAAAGCAGUAUAUCCUUCACGUCGGACUCGUUAAAGGAAAAGCUUCAACCAGUUCGUGGUGAGUAAUUGCUGUUCUGAUGUCCAGAAGUUAUUUUCGGUCAUAAGAGACGGUAGCAGCAACAUUAUGUACAAAAUAAGUACAAAAAUAAGC